AGGGUUCGAUCAUGGCUCAGGAUGAACGCUAGCGGCAGGCUUAACACAUGCAAGUAGAACGGUAACAGAGAGAGCUUGCUCUUUGCUGACGAGUUGCGAACGGGUGCGUAACGCGUAUGCAACCUACCCAUAACAGGGGGGUAGCCCAUAGAAAUGUGGAUUAAUACCCCAUAACAUCAUUUUCUGGCAUCAGAGAAUGAUUAAAACUCCGGUGGUUAUGGAUGGGCAUGCGUGACAUUAGCUAGUUGGUGAGGUAACUGCUCACCAAGGCAACGAUGUCUAGGGGUUCUGAGAGGAUGAUCCCCCACACUGGUACUGAGACACGGACCAGACUCCUACGGGAGGCAGCAGUGAGGAAUAUUGCGCAAUGGAGGAAACUCUGACGCAGCCAUGCCGCGUGCAGGAAGACUGCCCUAUGGGUUGUAAACUGCUUUUAUAUAGGAAGAACUACAGCUACGUGUAGCUGUUUGACGGUACUAUACGAAUAAGGACCGGCUAACUCCGUGCCAGCCGCCGCGGUAAA
RNAcentral lists this ribosomal RNA (523 nucleotides) under uncultured bacterium. RNAcentral describes it as "bacterial SSU rRNA". It matches the Rfam family "Bacterial small subunit ribosomal RNA", at positions 8 to 524 of the family's 1533-position model. The record is from RNAcentral.